RNAcentral lists this ribosomal RNA (377 nucleotides) under uncultured bacterium. Its description in RNAcentral is "bacterial SSU rRNA". It matches the Rfam family "Bacterial small subunit ribosomal RNA", at positions 523 to 898 of the family's 1533-position model. The record is from RNAcentral.
AGACGUAGGGGGCGAGCGUUGUCCGGAAUUACUGGGCGUAAAGAGCACGUAGGCGGGAAUUUAAGUCAGAUGUGAAAGACCGGGGCUCAACCCCGGGGUUGCAUUUGAAACUGAAUUUCUUGAGGGCAGGAGAGGAAAGCAGAAUUCCUGGUGUAGCGGUGAAAUGCGUAGAAAUCAGGAGGAAUACCAGUGGCGAAGGCGGCUUUCUGGACUGACCCUGACGCUGAGGUGCGAAAGCGUGGGUAGCAAACAGGAUUAGAUACCCUGGUAGUCCACGCCGUAAACGAUGGAUACUAGGUGUGGGAGGUAUCGACCCCUUCCGUGCCGCAGCUAACGCAAUAAGUAUCCCGCCUGGGGAGUACGAUCGCAAGGUUGAA